RNAcentral lists this unclassified non-coding RNA (285 nucleotides) under Hevea brasiliensis (rubber tree). Lineage: Eukaryota; Viridiplantae; Streptophyta; Magnoliopsida; Malpighiales; Euphorbiaceae. The record is from RNAcentral.
UACAUUGAGAGAUAUCAUCCUUGACGACAGGAAAUGACAUUUCCUGCGCAUUAGAUUGAGGCAUGCCGUGCACAUCCCCAGUUGGAAUAAAAGUAGCUGGCUGCGCCACAUUAUCAAAAAUACCGGCAAGAUCAUCAGUUCCAUCUUGUAGAUGAAAAGGUUCAAGCUCUUCAUUGCUUUGGGGAAAGCAAGCAGACAGUGUCGAUUUAUCUCUUUGUUUCAGCUUGUCACUUGCCAUUGCAUAACUAGUUCAGUGACUUGACUCUUGAGUGAUUGCAGGGAGAA